This 1159-nucleotide long non-coding RNA is filed under the name Felis catus (domestic cat). RNAcentral describes it as "lncRNA (ENSFCAG00000052922.1)". Lineage: Eukaryota; Metazoa; Chordata; Mammalia; Carnivora; Felidae. The record is from RNAcentral.
CAGAGACUAGAGCAAGAAGCAACCUGGGCCAGCAGGUAUCCAACCAUAACUUAUAAUGGGUUCGGUUGACAGGAUUGGUAUCCAGGGAGCCACGUUUACUCAGUAUGUCAAAGAAUAAACAGUCCUUGGCAGGUGACUAGCAGAGGGACAUUUUGUGAGCCUCUUCCUGUAGAAGGCAACAGACAGGAGGCACAGGUGUGAUAUUGUGUGAGUUGUGACCCUUUCCCCCCAUGAGAUGUGUAUACCUACCUAUAAAGGGUAUCUCAGGAUACAUAUGAGCUAGGAAUGGGGCAAGGGUCAUAUUCAAUAGGUAAAUGCCCUAGGAGUUUUCAGGAUCCCCAAAUAACUGGCUACAUAGAAGACAGAGGGGAAAACUACUCAGCCCUCCCUUUGCUAUCUGAGGUAGUGCUGGUCUGCUUUCAUGAUGAUGAACUCACCAUGGACUUCACAGUUUUUGAGGCCAUGUCUAAGAGCUGUUCAGCUGGAUUCCUGGUUACUAGUAAGAUGGUCUUCCUUCCUUCUCUCUGUCUUCCCUCUCUCCCUCCCUUCUUCCUUCCUUCCUUCCUUCGUUCCUUCCUUUGUUCCUUCCUUCCUUCGUUCCUUUCUUCCUUCGUUCCUUCCUUCCUUCCCUUCCUUCCUUCCUUCCUUCCUUCCUUCCUUCCUUCCUUCGUUCCUUCCUUCCGUCCUUCCUUCCUUCCGUCCUUCCUUCCUUCGUUCCUUCCUUCCUCCUUCCUUCCUUCUUCCUUCCUUCCCCUCCUCCCUCCUUCCCCUCCUUCUGUCCUUCCUUCCUUCCCCUCCUUCUGUCCUUCCUUCCUUCCUUCCUUCCGUCCUUCCUUCCUUCCGUCCUUCCUUCCUCCUUCCUUCCUUCCUCCUUCCUUCCUUCCCCUCCUUCCUUCCUUCCCCUCCUCCCUUCCUUCCCCUCCUCCCUCCUUUCCCCUCCUCCCUCCUUUCCCCUCUCCCCUCCACUUCCUUCCUUCCUUUCUGGGUGAAAAGGGGACUGUUCAGACUAAGGGCAACAUAGGCCAAGAACCAGGCCAGAAUGACGACAGAAGGGUAGAAUAUAGUUUAGGCAUGGUCUUUUAAGCCCUGAGGGGCUGCAUGAGUUCAGAUGGCCUAAGUUAUGUCAGAUGAAAAAAUUCAGGAGCUGACUAUAACAAAG